GGACUGCUAUAAAUCUGAGAUUGCUAUAAAUCUCUUCUGUAAUUUCCAUUAUAUCAGGUUGAGGAUUAAGGUUUUCUCUCGUGUGCUUAUGGUAAUGAAUUGCAUGUUACCAAAAUUGCCUCUUAUUGUAUCUGCCAAAUGCAAGCCACUGACUGACGGAAUUUCCAUUUACUAUAAUGCAGGGUGAAGAUGUAAUUUCAUUUAUGCUGCCUAGCACUCAGUGGCGGUCUUGAAAAAAUUUAUAUGCUUUCCAGCCUUUUCCAGAAAUAAUACAAAAUGGUGUAUGAGACCAUUCUAUACAAACAAAAACUACUUGAACCAAUUGCUCUGAAGGCUUCUUUUGCACUGUACCUGUAUAUACUGAUCUGAAGUGGAGGAAGUGAAAACAGUUAAUUGAAGAACUUCAUUUUUCAGCUUUUAUGAACCUGCUCAGAUUACUUUCAGCAUCUACUUCUUUUUCUUUCUUCCUUGGAAAGAUGUAUGGAUUCAUAGGAAUGGGAGCUUGUUUUUAAUGAGAAAUAACUGAAUACAAAGUAACUUCGUCACUUUAUAAUUUGGUUUGAACCUGUACUGGUUAAUAAAAAUUUAACUGUGUUAGGGGAUGUGUCUUUUCCAAAAGCAUCAACCACUGUAUUGAUCCCUUAAAAAGUGAAGUUGAACUGCUAUAAUGGUCACUGCUUCUGCAUACAUUCAGCAGUGAAUGCACAUGCAGUGUGGGGAAGGAGAACAACUAUUCAUGUUUCAGAGAAGAAAAGGGAGUUCUAUCACUUAAAGAAAUAAAAAUGUGUAGAUUUUGAUUUGUUUAUUCCUUAACUUCUAAAAUGUGUUUUCUUUGACAUCUUUGGCAUGUCAUUGGUGGAAGUAAAAAAGCAGAUUAAGUAUAUCUGAUUAGAAUAUUUAUCAUUGUGAAUGGAUAUUUGAGGAGAGAAUUUACAGUUCAGAUUGUAUCCUGAUGUCCUAGCAAUCUGAAAUGUGAUGUGAUGUACAAAUACAACUGCUUUACCUUUCUCUGUCACUGGAUAACAAAAAAAAAAAAAAAUCACCCAAACCACAAAACCUUACUGUAAAUGGAGAGAGAAACUGGAAAAAUAUGUUAACUUCAUGAGGAAAAAAAAUUAUCAAUGCCUGGCCAAAUAAUUAAGAGCUAGAAGAAUUUCUUACAGUGAACUUUUAGUAAUCGGAUCUUUUCAGAUGAAAAUGAUCAUCAAUUUAGUGCUUUUCUACUUUUGGAGUUGCAAGUAAUAGAAAACUUAAUUGCAUGAAAGCUAUAAAAACUGUGAAAUCUUUACUUAGAACUUUAUAUUUGAAUAGAUUCGUUGUUACAAGGGUGUAAGGAAAGUAAACAUCUGAAAGCAAAGUUGUUGGAAGUUUAGAGAAAUCCAUGAAAAAAUUGGUUACUUAGUUUCUUUCUUUUUGUUUUAACA
This is a long non-coding RNA of Tympanuchus pallidicinctus (lesser prairie-chicken), 1424 nucleotides long. RefSeq lists it as uncharacterized. The record is from RefSeq and is a predicted model, not a curated record. NCBI's taxonomy places the organism in Eukaryota, Metazoa, Chordata, Aves, Galliformes, Phasianidae. The transcript is spliced from 3 exons.